GUGUGUGUGUGUGUGUGUGUGUGUGUGUGUGUGUGUGUGUGUGUGUGUGUGUGUGAAUGUAAACGGUUUAAAUGUAAAAUGUUUUGCGUUUAAACACCAGCUGUGUUCCAGAUUUCUGUCUCAGCCAUUAAAAGCUUAUUAUUAAUGUGCAAA
Molecule: long non-coding RNA, 153 nt
Organism: Silurus meridionalis
Lineage: Eukaryota; Metazoa; Chordata; Actinopteri; Siluriformes; Siluridae
Exons: 2
Source: RefSeq, a predicted model, not a curated record